AAAGCCUCGUGCAGUUUGCAGCAAGCUCUCGAAUCCGCCUGGUGAUUGGGGUGACCGCGAACCUGGCCUGAGACCCCGGAUACUUGAGUUUUCGGGGGUCUAACAUUUUGGGGGCUCGUCCGGGAUUUGCGACCACCCUUCACCUGAGUGGAUUCGAUCUUGGAGCACAUGGCACGGGAAAGGAGUUCUGCCAUGUGUCACGGGUUAGAAUGUGUUAUGUUGGAGUCCCCCGAUGCUGCUUUUCUGAACUCGAACCACUGCUGCAGCCCUUACAGCUGAGCCUGGCCCAUGUAGUUUAUAAUGUCAGACAGACUGCCAGAUCUGGACAGUGACCCAAAGUCUCCAAAGAAGAUUACGAGGCACCUCAGUUCCUGCACCUGGACCAGUGAGCGAGAUGCUCAGAUGUGAAACCUGCCGCCUGCCAGAACCUGGCCAAGAAUGUGGACAAAGCUGCUGGGCACUGGAAAAUUGAUUGUACCCCUUUGCCUAGACAAAACAAGUUUAAAUAUGUCUUAAACAGGUUUCUGCUUCUGGCAGACAUCUGAAUGUGAACCAGUCAGCUGAUGUGGACACCCCCUGUCUCUGCAACAGUGUCUGCUAACCAGAAGCCCCUGAUGAAUUCCCCAUUGCCUAAAUUCCUUUUUGCUUUUGACUAGCAUUUCAACCUUCUGGGGUCCCUAACUUCGUCCCAAAGUCAGCAGGAAGCAGUUUAGAAAAAAAUUUCGGCGUCCAUUUUCCCUGGUUAAAAUGCUAAGUCAAAAGGAACUCCCUUACAUGGGGAUGCCAAUAUCUAUCACUCCCUGAUGGGGAUGCUAGAGAGACAGCAAUUCCAUGAUUGGAAUUUCCAGAAAAGAAAAUGGGGGAAUGAAGGAACCGGCUUCCCUUUUGGCAGCCAUAAUGGUUGAACAUGUGCCUUUAUGACCUUGUCCUAGAAACCAGAAAGUCAGAUGCCUGUCUUGUGACAAGGAACCAAUCAGAAGUUAGCUGGUGGCGCUAUGCUUUAUGGCUCUGGGUGUGCUUUACGGACAAGCGCACAGCAAUGAUGUAGAGAGCAUAGCAACCACCCUGGGAGGGCCUAUGAGCCAUAACAACCAGUUGACCAAUCAACACAGGGCAAGCCCUCCAAGCCUGGAAGCACACCAAUCCUGAGCCUGUGCGUACCCCUAGACACUCCCCUUACGCUGCC
Molecule: long non-coding RNA, 1186 nt
Filed under: Cricetulus griseus (Chinese hamster)
Lineage: Eukaryota; Metazoa; Chordata; Mammalia; Rodentia; Cricetidae
Description: lncRNA (ENSCGRG00015041507.1)
Source: RNAcentral